UGAUAAAUGUGAUCCGUUACACAGUACCUCUCACUCCAAUGAGGAGACAGCCACUCAGGGUCCACUUUUAACAGGGAGAUACAGAAGAAGGGGGAAGUUGGGGGCAACUAGCAUGAACCUACACACACCCAGAAAUAAAAUCAAGGUACCAGGUAACCACCAAAUAGUGGAAGCGGGGCCUGGUGCGCAUCCUGAGGUCUUAGGUGGGGUGCUCCAGGUUGGAGGGGUAGCUGUUGUUUCAGCUCGCUAAAGCAAACCCUUCCACAAGAGGUUUUGAAAUCUUUUUGGUCACUGUCUCCUUCUAGGUUAUGUUCAAAGCUCCGGACCCUAGUCCCGGAAAAUACGUAUAGAGCAAACAAAAUUUUGUGUAGACUUUUUGGAGUUCUUAGACCCCUGGGUGCUCUUAAAAGGUGGCGCAAGGGGUUAAAGUGAUAACAGGGGUUCAAUCAACUACCCUGUUUGGUUUCCUUCCGUUAUUUUUUUCUCUUUCUUUCUUUAAAACCAAGCCGUUAAAAACCCAAAGGUGUUUUGAAUAUUUCUAAGAGGCAAAGCUUACUAUUUUGUUCCUGGGGUUGGGACCUUUUCUUUCCUUUUGUGAUGCCUUUUAAAAUGUUAUUCUAAAAGCCACAAGGCUGAGUACUAUACCAAUUGAGGGACAUUUAAGAUCGUUCAUGCCUUGGAGCAUAAAAUGAGAUUUUAUUAUGCUUAAGCUAUGCUGAAAUCAUUGAAGGUGCCACACCAAGAAGCAGAUCCCUAGGGGAGAAAUUAACAACUUAGCAUUUUCAGUUCAAGUGGGAAUAUGAAUUCCAUUUGCUGAAGAAAAUAUUUUUGAUAUAGUUAAGAAGAAAAUAUUUCAAAGUAAUAAUAUUUUUACAUAAUACUCAUUUUCCUUGACCCAUUUUCCUGGCUCAGCAAAGAUGCUGUAUGAGCAAGUUGGUCUACAGAGGCCAUAGGUCAGGCCUGUCCUAUUAACGUAAUAGAGAAAAUCAACAAAUAUUUAUUUAUUCUCCACAGUGUGCAAAUCACCAUGCCUUUAAAUAGCAAAAAUGUGUAUACUCUUAAUUGGCAUUCAGUAAAGAUUAAUUAUGAUAUUUAAUAAAAAAGAUUGCUUUAAGCGGUAUCUGAAUGAGUUGUUUGAGCUGCCAUAACAAAAUACAAUAGACCGGGAGGCUUAAACAAUACAAAUUUAUUUUUUGCUAGUUCUGAAGGCUGGAAGUCCCAGAUAAAGGUCUGACAGGGUCAGUUCCUGGCCCCCUUCUCACGGUGUCCUCUCAUGGUGGAGAGAAAGACGGCUGCGAUCUCUUCCUCUUCUUAUGAGGACACUAAUGCCAUCGUCAGCGUCCCAUCCUCAUGAGCUCAUCUAAACCUAUUUACCUCUCCAAAGCCCCACCUCGAAAUACCAUCACGCUGGGGGCUAGGGCCUCAACGCAGUAUUGUUUUUGAUUAACUGAAUACAGCUUUCGUGUUGGCGUGUCCUGGAAAGUCCUGUGGGAGACCUGCUAAGGUCAUUUCUUUGCCUCUAUAGUUGAAAGCCCCCAAAAGUUUUAGAACUGCAGGUUUGCGUAUUAUUCAAAGCUCACGGGAAACAGGUCAAGUAUCCUGUGACUUCAUGAACACUGAACAUUAUAUGACCGUCCUAAAACUCAGUCAAUUAUCAUGAUUAAACGUAGGUUUUAAUCUUUGACAAAGACAGGUGAUUUGGCCGGAAAACACUUAAGCAAUCUUGACCCUAAUUCUUUAUUUUUUGUUAUUUUAUCGGAGUCAUAUUGGCUUACAAGAUUGUGUAAUUUCAGGUGUACAUCACUCUAUUUCAGUUUCUGUAUCGACUGCAUUGUGUUCGCCAACAGUCCAGUUUUUAUCAGUCACCACACAUAUGUGCCCCUUUACCCCUGUCACUCUCCCCUGCCCCCUUCUCAUCUGGUAACCGCUAAUCUAUUCUCCUUAUCUAUGUGUUUAUAACCCUAAUUCUUAAAGCUCUCUUUCUGAAAACUGUUCUGAGAGGAAUAGCAUUAUGAAAAUUUCCAUCUUUACUUAGAGCCUGGCUGUCCCAUAGAAAUACAAUGCAAGCCAUGGAUGGAAUUUAAAGUUUUUAUUAGCCACAUUUAAAGAAAGUAAAAAUCAACAGGUUAAACUCAUUUUAGUCAUAUAUAUCUUAUUUAACCUAGUACGAUAUUGAAAAUAUUAUCAUUUUGACAUGUAAUCAAUAUAGAAAUAUUAAUGAGGUAUUUUACUUUUUUUUUUGGUAUGAAGUUUUGAAAAUGGUGUGUGUUUUACGCUUAGGGGACAAAUCAAUUCAGAUUAGCCAAAUUUCGGGUGCUCAAUAGCCACAUGUGGCAAGUGGCUACCAUAUCGGACAGCUCAGAUUUACAGGAGCUAUGUGAUUUGAACCAUGUUAUAUACAUAGAUGUGACUGCAACCUGAUUAUUGUUUGUUUUAUUAAUAACCUUCAAAAAGGAGAUCAGCGGGAUGGUAUUAUUGGGUUUGAAGCUGUUUAGAAGUCUUUCAUUGGAGUCUCUGGAAUUGAAUCAGGUGUACAUCCUUAGUGAACCUCCUGUCACUGAGUAGAUUCUGGAGUCCUUCAGGAAGAUUUAAAAAGUAUAAAUAUUCACUUUUCAAUUUUACAAUGAUCACCCAUCAGAAGGGUCAUGGAAAGAAUAGGCAGCCCUACUUGGGCCCCAAUUUAUCCAUUUGUUGCUGGCCUAACUCAGAUUUCCACUUUCAUUUACUUUAUGGGUUUUAGCAAUUGUAAUUUAAAGGAAAGCAGGUGGUAUUUAUAUGAGAUUAGUUAAAUGAAAAUGUGAUCUUGGAAUGUUGCACAAAUAGUGUUACCUUAUAUUUAUAUGAGGCUUCUCUUAUAGGAACGCAAGGAUAUUUAUACAUUAUCUAAUUCUCUUAAUUGCUUUAUGAGGUUGGUAGAUGUUAAUAUUCCAAUUUUGCAAAUGUGGAAAAUCAUUUUGCCUAAGACCAUUUUUUAGUGAAAUUUGAAUGGCACACUGAUUUCCUGACUAUCUUAAAUAUGAUGUGUUAACCUUAGUACCUUUCUCUGGUUUUCUUUAAAGUAAAUUUUUAAUGUUCUUUUUUAAAAUCUAACUUAUACAGUAAAGAACAUAAAUCUUAAGUGUACACCUCAUUUUCUUUUACUUAUGUAUAUAUCCAUGUAACCCCCCUCCCUCCAGAUUAAGAUACAGAACAUUUCCAGCCCACCAGCAGGCACCCCUGUGGUCUCUCCCAGCAGAUAACCCCCCAAGAAAAGCACAUUUCUAACCUUUAUCACCAUAGCUUGGUUUUGCCUCUCCUUGAGCUUCAUAUAACUUUUGUGUCAGGCUUCUUUCUGCUCAACAUUAUGUCUGCAAGAUUGAUUCAUGUUGUUGGGUAUAGUAGUGGUUCAUUCUUUUUCAUUGCUAUGUAUUAUUUCAUUAUAUAAAUAUGCCACAAUUUUCUAUCCAUUCUGCUGUUGAUAGAUAUUCUUGUACAUUUUAGUUCAUGUCAUUUGGUGGACAUAAGCACGCUUUAUCCUGUAUAUAUAUUCAUGAAUAGAAUUGCUGAAUUAUAGUAUAUACAUAUGUUUAGCUUUAGUAGAUACUGGCAAAUAGUUUUCCUAAUUAGUUGUACCAAUUUACACUCCCACCAGCAGUGUAUGCGAGUUCUAGCUGUUGCAUAUCUUCACCAGCACUUGGUAUUGUCAGGGGUGUAGCGGUAUACCAUUGUCUUAUUGGGAUUUUGGGAUUUUUAAUUUGCAUUCCCCAAUUGAUCAAUGACAUUAAGCACAUUUGUAUAUGAUUAUUGGUCAUUUGGACAGCCUCUCUUGUGAUGGGCCUUUUCAAGUCUGUUGCCCAUUUUUAAAUUUCUGAGUUGUCGAUCUUUUUUAUUAAUUUGAGGGAAUUCUUUCUAUAUUCUGGACAUAAGUCCUUUGUAGGAUAUUUGUUUUGCAAAUGGCCUCUCCCACUCUAUAGCUUGUGUUUUCGUUCUCGGUGUUCUUAAAGUUCUUAAUUUGAGUGCAACUGAGUUUGUAAAUCUUUUUAUGUCAUGUUAGGAAAUUAUUUUCUAUCUGCAUACACUUUUCUUUUAAACUUGAAUUUGUCAGUGUGUUAGUUUCCUGAGGCUGCUGUAACAAAUUACCACAAACUUGGUUGCUUAAAACAACAGAAAUUCAUUUUUCCACUGUUGUGGCCGCCAGAAGUUGGAAAUCAGUAUCACUGGGCCAAAGUCAAGGUUUCAGCAGGGCUGUGCUCCCUCCAGAGGCUCUAGAGAAGAAUCUGUUCCCUGCCCCUUUCUGUGCCUUGCCUCUUCCAGCUUCUAGAGGCUGCGGGCAUUCCUUGGUUUGUGGCCUCAUCACUCCAAUCCCUGCCCCUGUCUUCAUCACACCUUCUCCUCUGUGUGUAGGAAGUCCCCCUCUGCCUCUCUCUUAUAAGGACUCUUAUGAUGGCAUUUAGGACUCACCCCACUUAUCCAGGAUAAUCUCCCCAUCUCAAGAUCCUUAAUUUAAUCUCAUCUGCAAAGACCCUUUUUCCAUAUAAGGUCAUAAUCCCAGGCUCCAAGGAUUAGGAUGUGGAUGUUUUGGGGGUCCAUUUUGCAAUCUCUCGGUCAAAUUGACUUCAGAGUAACUAAACGUCAAGGCAAGGCAGUGAUAUUAUAGACAGAGUUCUGGCUGGGAGACUUGAGUGAAACUACCCGUGCAAAAUUUUAACAUCUGUGGGCCUCAGUUUCUUUGUCAAUAGGAAUAAUAAUAUAUGUCUUCUCAACUCUACAAAGUUGUUUGCAGGUGAAAUACUGCAUGUGAAAGUCAUUUGAAAUAUUGAAAUUUAGGGUCACGUGGUGCCGUACUUGAGAAGAUGAGGUUGAGUACCUUGCCCACGUAUCACAAUUCUCAUUUCUGCCCCUGAAUGAAACUCCUAGGUUUUAGGCCGUGUAGGAAAUACAGAUCUCUGAGAGACUGCUCCUGCCUUCAAUGAGUGUACAGUUCGGUGAGCUGCUAAAAUGAGUAAGAGCUGCUCUUUACAUGGGCCAUCACUUCUAAAACACUGAACCCAAAACGGGAAAUGGAGUUCGGAGAUGUGAGGCAUGAGGGGGUGGGGAGAGGGGAUGUGCAAGAGGAGGUUGCCACGCUGGGUGAGUGUAGGUUUAUUUCCCUCUGUGAUGUUUAAUAGACUUGUUUUUUCUCUUGUACUAGGAUUCUCCCAAGAAACAGAACCAAUAAGAGAUGGACAGGUCUAGAUAAAAAGAUGUGUUUGAGGAACUGGCUCACAUGAUUACAGAGACUGAGAAGUCCCACGAUCUGCAUCUAAAAGCCGGAGACCCAGCAAAGCCGAUGUGUAAUUCCUGUCUGAGUCCAAAGGCCUAACAACCAGAGGAGCUGAUGGUGUAAAUCCACGUCCAAGGGCAGGAGAAGACCGAGGUCCCAGCUCAACCUGGCAGGGCUCCUUUACUUUGAAGAGGAGAAGCCAGAAGCUACAUUUGCCAGAAUCCUCUUCAUUUUGCGGCCAGGCUAGAGCAUGUCAGCGAGAGGCACCCUUGCGCCCAAGUGAUGGAGCGAUCCUUAUUCUCCAGUCAGUUGCAGUCAGAAUUGUGAGUAGAUGUGAUACUCCUGGAAACUUCAAGGCAAGUUGUUUUUGUUUUUUUUUUUAAAGAUUGGCACCUGAGCUAACAUCUGUUGCCAAUCUUCUUCCCCUCCUCCUUUCCUCCUCUCCCCU
Non-coding RNA from Equus caballus (horse), 5690 nucleotides. The record is from RefSeq and is a predicted model, not a curated record. Lineage: Eukaryota; Metazoa; Chordata; Mammalia; Perissodactyla; Equidae.